AGUGAACGCUGGCGGUAGGCCUAACACAUGCAAGUCGAACGGCAGCACAGUAAGAGCUUGCUCUUACGGGUGGCGAGUGGCGGACGGGUGAGGAAUACAUCGGAAUCUACUUUUUCGUGGGGGAUAACGUAGGGAAACUUACGCUAAUACCGCAUACGACCUACGGGUGAAAGCAGGGGAUCUUCGGACCUUGCGCGAUUGAAUGAGCCGAUGUCGGAUUAGCUAGUUGGCGGGGUAAAGGCCCACCAAGGCGACGAUCCGUAGCUGGUCUGAGAGGAUGAUCAGCCACACUGGAAAUGAGACACGGUCCAGAAUCCUACGGGAGGCAGCAGUGGGGAAUAUUGGACAAUGGGCGCAAGACUGAUCCAGACAUACCGCGUGGGUGAAGAAGGCCUUCGGGUUGUAAAGCCCUUUUGUUGGGAAAGAAAAGCAGCAGGUUAAUACCCCGCUGUUCUGACGGUACCAAAAGAAUAAGCACCGGCUAACUUCGUG
RNAcentral lists this ribosomal RNA (492 nucleotides) under uncultured bacterium. RNAcentral describes it as "partial 16S ribosomal RNA". It matches the Rfam family "Bacterial small subunit ribosomal RNA", at positions 29 to 507 of the family's 1533-position model. The record is from RNAcentral.